GACGGUGAGGGACGAAAGCUGGGGGAGCAAACCGGAUUAGAUACCCGGGUAGUCCCAGCUGUAAACGAUGCAAACUCGAUGAUGCGUUGGCUUAUUGCUAGCGCAGUGUCGCAGGGAAGCCGUUAAGUUUGCCGCCUGGGAAGUACGUACGCAAGUAUGAAACUUAAAGGAAUUGGCGGGGGAGCACCACAAGGGGUGAAGCCUGCGGUUCAAUUGGAGUCAACGCCUGAAACCUUACCCGGAGAGACAGCAGAAUGAAGGUCAAGCUGAAGACUUUACCAGACAAGCUGAGAGGUGGUGCAUGGCCGUCGCCAGCUCGUGCCGUGAGAUGUCCUGUUAAGUCAGGUAACGAGCGAGAUCCCUGCCUCUAGUUGCCACUAUUACACCCUGGUGUAGUAGGGCGAAUUAGGGGGACCGCCGCAGUUAAUGCGGAGGAAGGAAGGGGCCACGGCAGGUCAGUAUGCCCCGAAACUCUGGGGCCACACGCGGGCUGCAAUGGUAGCGACAAUUGGUUUCGAAUCCGAAAGGAUGAGGUAAUCCUCAAACGUUACCACAGUUAUGACUGAGGGCUGCAACUCGCCCUCACGAAUAUGGAAUCCCUAGUAACUGCGUGUCAUUAUCGCGCGGUGAAUACGUCCCUGCUCCUUGCACACACCGCCCGU
This 662-nucleotide ribosomal RNA is filed under the name uncultured archaeon. RNAcentral describes it as "bacterial SSU rRNA". It matches the Rfam family "Archaeal small subunit ribosomal RNA", at positions 693 to 1353 of the family's 1478-position model. The record is from RNAcentral.